Mugil cephalus (flathead mullet) is the source of this 134-nucleotide small nuclear RNA. RefSeq annotates it as U11 spliceosomal RNA. The transcript has a single exon. The record is from RefSeq and is a predicted model, not a curated record. Lineage: Eukaryota; Metazoa; Chordata; Actinopteri; Mugiliformes; Mugilidae.
AAAAAGGGCUUCUGCCGUGAUUGGCACAGGAAGGGUGGGGAUUUCUACUCUUCUUGCGGAAUCGCCAUCAAGAGAUUUCGGAAGCACAAUUUUUAAAACAGGGGAUGGUAGUGACCGCUCGUCCUAUCGCCCCG